GGGUAACAAGAUGGCGGCGGAGACGGUGGAGCUCCAUAAACUGAAGCUUGCUGAACUAAAGCAGGAAUGUCUUGCUCGUGGUUUGGAGACCAAGGGAAUAAAACAAGAUCUCAUCAACCGGCUCCGGGCGUAUCUUGAAGAGCAUGCUGAAGAGGAGGCAAAUGAAGAAGAUGUACUGGGAGAUGAAACAGAAGAAGAAGAACCAAAGCCCAUAGAACUGCCUGUCAAAGAGGAAGAACCCCCUGAGAAAACUGUUGAUGUGGCAGCAGAGAAGAAAGUGGUAAAAAUUACAUCUGAGAUACCACAGACUGAGAGAAUGCAGAAGAGAGCUGAACGAUUCAAUGUACCUGUGAGCUUGGAGAGUAAGAAAGCUGCCCGGGCAGCAAGAUUUGGGAUUUCUUCAGUUCCAUCAAAAGGUCUGUCAUCUGAUGCCAAACCUACGGUUAACCUGGAUAAACUAAAGGAAAGAGCCCAAAGAUUUGGUUUGAAUGUCUCUUCAAUAUCCAGAAAGUCUGAAGAUGAUGAGAAACUGAAAAAGAGGAAGGAGCGAUUUGGGAUUGUUACAAGUUCAGCUGGAACAGGAACCACAGAGGAUACAGAGGCAAAGAAGAGGAAAAGGGCAGAGCGCUUUGGGAUUGCCUGAUGAAAAGCUCUUAAUGCUUUCUGUUCUCCAGUGGUUUCCAUCUCUCUGACUUUUCUUGGUCAUAUGUAUACCUAAAUGCACAGUCAUGUGUCUAGGUUCUGCCUCGCAGUGAGAGAGCAUGUACCCUGGGUACAUCCAGGAACUUCAGCAGCAAUUUGACUCAUUGCUGUUCCAACUUUAAGGUUGUUGUUGUUGUUGUUUUUUAAUUAUUAUUUUGCUUGUUAAUAAAAAACAAAUAGAAAAGAAAAAAAAAAAGAAUCAGGACUCAGAAUGGCUUGACUCUUCUAACAGCAGCACUAGAUGGUAGGUGAAAAGUAACAAUGCCUUCAAAAUUGUAAAGGAAAAUAAAUUCCAAACUGGAAUUUCACACCCGAUCAAGUAUGAGAAGAGACAUUUUUCAGACAUGCGAUUCACUCAAACUACUUUCCAUGCACAUCUUUUACUGCAAGCACUCUACCAGAAUGAGGUAAUAAAUCAAGGGGAAAAACAGAGACUCAGGAAACAGGAGA
This is a non-coding RNA of Leptonychotes weddellii (Weddell seal), 1152 nucleotides long. The record is from RefSeq and is a predicted model, not a curated record. Lineage: Eukaryota; Metazoa; Chordata; Mammalia; Carnivora; Phocidae.